This 252-nucleotide ribosomal RNA is filed under the name uncultured Bacteroidales bacterium. Its description in RNAcentral is "partial 16S ribosomal RNA". It matches the Rfam family "Bacterial small subunit ribosomal RNA", at positions 524 to 776 of the family's 1533-position model. Lineage: Bacteria; Pseudomonadati; Bacteroidota; Bacteroidia; Bacteroidales. The record is from RNAcentral.
UACGGAGGAUGCGAGCGUUAUCCGGAUUUAUUGGGUUUAAAGGGUGCGUAGGCGGGACCUUAAGUCAGCGGUAAAAUUGCGGUGCUCAACGCCGUAGAGCCGUUGAAACUGGCAGUCUUGAGUGGGCGAGAAGUAUGCGGAAUGCGUGGUGUAGCGGUGAAAUGCAUAGAUAUCACGCAGAACUCCGAUUGCGAAGGCAGCCUGCCAAGCCAUGACUGACGCUGAUGCACGAAAGCGUGGGGAUCGAACAGG